UACAGGGGGGGCGAGCGUUGUUCGGAAUUACUGGGCGUAAAGGGCUCGUAGGUGGCCAACAAAGUCAGACGUGAAAUCCCUCGGCUUAACCGGGGAACUGCGUCUGAUACUGGAUGGCUUGAGUUCGGGAGAGGGAUGCGGAAUUCCAGGUGUAGCGGUGAAAUGCGUAGAUAUCUGGAGGAACACCGGUGGCGAAGGCGGCAUCCUGGACCGACACUGACACUGAGGAGCGAAAGCCAGGGGGGCAAACGGG
RNAcentral lists this ribosomal RNA (253 nucleotides) under uncultured bacterium. Its description in RNAcentral is "partial 16S ribosomal RNA". It matches the Rfam family "Bacterial small subunit ribosomal RNA", at positions 524 to 776 of the family's 1533-position model. The record is from RNAcentral.